Tribolium castaneum (red flour beetle) is the source of this 2412-nucleotide long non-coding RNA. RefSeq lists it as uncharacterized. The transcript has 2 exons. Lineage: Eukaryota; Metazoa; Arthropoda; Insecta; Coleoptera; Tenebrionidae. The record is from RefSeq and is a predicted model, not a curated record.
UUUUGUAAACAAACAACAUAGCGUAACAUGGCGGCCGGGCCGCCCCUUCGGCCCCGCCGAUCGAAUCCUCGGCGACAUUUUAUCGACGCGAUUUGGUCAAGGGCCCCAAGGUCACGGUGUUAGCGCUGCUUCCUUUCCCCGAGCUUCCGUUUCCUUGCCCCCGAACGCCUUCCGCUCGCCCCUUUCGGGAGGUGUACGCCGUCGUCGGAUACUCGUCACAACACGACCACGUGACCAUAAUAUUUAUCAUUCGUACUCGAGUCCGCAUGUCAUGACGGUUGAGGGCCGCACUUUUUGCUUGAUUUUGGGGUUUCAACUGUCUUUGUAAAGUACUUACGGUUCGGCACCAACUGGUGUUUCGGUUUUCUUACAGUUUGACACAGUUUUGCCAAUUACAAUGAAACGAGGUUAUAACCACGUCAUAACCACGGUUAUAACUUCUAGCAGUAGAGUUCCUAUAUUGGGAGAGUUGGGACACUGAAUGUCAAUUUUCGAAAUUUUGUUUCAUAUACGUCGGUUGGAAUGUAUAAAAAACAAAUUGGGAUAGAAAUCAGUGGUGUUACACUUGAAAUUUAGCGAAAAGUCAAAUAAAUUUGUCAAAAAAUGUUUCCAUUUUUCGUCGACUAACUGCGUUUAGAAAUGGUUUAGACUGGCAGUCGUCGUCAAUUCACUAUUUUUUUUAUAUAAACUCCAAAUUUUAAAAGAGAUUUCUUUAAAUGGUAAUCAUCGAUGAAAGAGAGAGAAACUGAACCUUUCCUGCCAAGUUUUACGUUCAUUAUUAACAAGCAUUUGGAAAAGUGGAUUGUCGAAAUAAUGUUAUGUACAAAAUUUAUGAGAUUUUGGGAAUUUGUCUAUGCAUUUACAAAAUACGUUGGUACUUGAACCCAAAAUUGGUUCUAAUUUUUAGGAAAGUUGAACCUGUUACUGCUUGGCCGCCAUCUACGUGAACUUUAGCUACUGUUUCAAAUUAUAAAGUUAUUGGGAAUUCACGAUGUUGUUACGUUUUUCAUACGAGAUCAUCUUCAAUAUCAUUUUUUAGAAAAUUUAAAAAGACGACGGGAAAUAUGAAGGGUUCUUGAUGACCAAUUUUUGGGACGAGAUGUUUAACUAAAAAUUGUGAUUGAAAGAAAAGCAUUUUUAGCAUUGAAGUAUGUUUUAAGUAAUGUAUUUAAUAUUAAAAUAAAUAUUGAAAAAUUUCAGAAAUGUGAACAAUAAUAUUGAUAGGUAUUCAAUUAUUUUCUUUUCUUAAAUAGUAAUCCCAAAAUUUCUACGUUUUCUACGUCCCUGAUUAAAUUUGACGUAAAAUUAUGUCAUUUUAUGCAUUUGACAAAAAUUAUAACCUUGAAAUUAUUUUCGACAUAAACCUCUGACAUAAGUUACUAACAAAAAUUUUAAUAAAAAAGGAUAGAAAUAUAUACCUUAUCCACAUGGUGGUGUUAAAAGGUAUGGUGCUCCAACUCCCUUCAUUUGUUUUAAACUGGAACGAACUGACGAGGUCGGGAACCAUUUCAUACAAUGGCCAUUAGAUAGCGCUUUUUGAAUUUGAUUUAAAGGUAUCCUUAUUACCGAUCACAUUUUGAACUUCAAAAAUGCUUCAUAUUUGAUUACAGUGACAGUAGCAUUUUGGCAGAUAAGAUUCAAUUUACUGAAAAAGGGAAGAUAGUGAUACUAUUACCGGUCUUUAACUGAGUGACGGGCACAUCAAACUGAUAUUUUGUGAUGGUUGUGUUUUCAGUGGUACUUGUGUAUGUAAAAUUUUUGCAAAAAGUGGCUCCCAAAGACAAGUUCACACACUUACAUACCUAAGAGACUCACACCCAACUGUAAUUAAUUAAAAGACUGAUUUUGCUAAUUGUGUAUUAUACUUCUCAUCUGUAGUUUUGAUUAAAAAUAUUAAUAAUUUUAUUAAUUACUGUCAUUUCUUAUGUUAUGCGGAAUUUCAGUUAAAAUUAUUGAAACAAGGCUGGUUCCUACAUCCAUAUGGGUUUGAUUACAAAGAUUACUCGAUGGAUUGAUGCUUUUUCUACACAACUGCAAAUAGUACAUAGUUCAAAAUCAUUUUGACUAUGGUGUUAAGCGAUAUAAUUACCUGGUUGUUUUUGGCGUUGCUGUAUUCUAACACUUUCGAAAACUCAAGUGCAACUACCGUUUGUACAGACAUCAAUCACCUUAUAAUGCGUUCACAGUUGUUUUCGGGCCUCCGAUAUGAAUUUAUUUAUGUCUCUACUUAAGAGAUUAUUGUAGUGAAACCAUUUUACUGCUAAAUAAAUCAAUUUCCCUUUAAAGACCAUACUUGUGAUUCAUUAACUAAUAUAAUUCCUGGCACAGGUUCGUAGAUAGUCGUAAACACCGUAAACAGCUUUAGACCACAGAAUUUAAUAUGAUGUGUCAUUAUGACGUAAAUUUGAAAAA